This 87-nucleotide ribosomal RNA is filed under the name Polypogon fugax. RNAcentral's name for it is "partial 5.8S ribosomal RNA". It matches the Rfam family "5.8S ribosomal RNA", at positions 73 to 154 of the family's 154-position model. Rfam says of the family: 5.8S ribosomal RNA (5.8S rRNA) is a component of the large subunit of the eukaryotic ribosome. It is transcribed by RNA polymerase I as part of the 45S precursor that also contains 18S and 28S rRNA. Functionally, it is thought that 5.8S rRNA may be involved in ribosome translocation. Lineage: Eukaryota; Viridiplantae; Streptophyta; Magnoliopsida; Poales; Poaceae. The record is from RNAcentral. RNAcentral also lists the same sequence under 2 other names.
UGCAGAAUCCCGCGAACCAUCGAGUCUUUGAACGCAAGUUGCGCCCGAGGCCAUUCGGCCGAGGGCACGCCUGCCUGGGCGUCACGC